Molecule: ribosomal RNA, 427 nt
Filed under: uncultured bacterium
Lineage: Bacteria
Description: bacterial SSU rRNA
Rfam family: Bacterial small subunit ribosomal RNA
Source: RNAcentral
UGGGGAAUAUUGGACAAUGGGCGAAAGCCUGAUCCAGCAAUACCGCGUGUGUGAAGAAGGCCUGAGGGUUGUAAAGCACUUUCAAUUGUGAAGAAAAGCCUUAAAUUAAUACUUUAGGGUCUUGACGUUAACUUUAGAAGAAGCACCGGCUAACUCCGUGCCAGCAGCCGCGGUAAUACGGAGGGUGCAAGCGUUAAUCGGAAUUACUGGGCGUAAAGCGCACGUAGGCGGUUAGGUAAGUCAGAUGUGAAAGCCCCGGGCUCAACCUGGGAACUGCAUUUGAUACUGCUUAACUAGAGUAUAGUAGAGGCAAGUGGAAUUCCAGGUGUAGCGGUGAAAUGCGUAGAUAUCUGGAGGAACAUCAGUGGCGAAGGCGACUUGCUGGACUAAUACUGACGCUGAGGUGCGAAAGCGUGGGGAGCAAACA